RNAcentral lists this ribosomal RNA (301 nucleotides) under uncultured bacterium. RNAcentral's name for it is "partial 16S ribosomal RNA". It matches the Rfam family "Bacterial small subunit ribosomal RNA", at positions 509 to 807 of the family's 1533-position model. The record is from RNAcentral.
CAGCCGCCGCGGUAACACGUAGGUGGCAAGCGUUGUCCGGAAUUAUUGGGCGUAAAGGGCUCGCAGGCGGUUUCUUAAGUCUGAUGUGAAAGCCCCCGGCUCAACCGGGGAGGGUCAUUGGAAACUGGGAAACUUGAGUGCAGAAGAGGAGAGUGGAAUUCCACGCGUAGCGGUGAAAUGCGUAGAGAUGUGGAGGAACACCAGUGGCGAAGGCGACUCUCUGGUCUGUAACUGACGCUGAGGAGCGAAAGCGUGGGGAGCGAACAGGAUUAGAUACCCCCGUAGUCCCUGUCUCUUAUAC